Molecule: ribosomal RNA, 186 nt
Filed under: Triticum aestivum (bread wheat)
Lineage: Eukaryota; Viridiplantae; Streptophyta; Magnoliopsida; Poales; Poaceae
Description: partial small subunit ribosomal RNA
Source: RNAcentral
AUAGUUAAAGAAGAAAAAGAAGAAAACAGGGGUUCUGUUGAAUUUCAAGUAUUCAGUUUCACCAAUAAUAUACAGAGACUUGCUUCACAUUUGGAGAUUAAAUAUAACACCGACAGACCAAAUAUUUUCAACCACUCUGCUACUCAUACCUCUUAUAGAAUCUGGAAAAGAUUCAUGGGAGUAUAA